GCUCCCUUAGCUCAGCAGGAUAGAGCGUCCCCCUCCUAAGGGGAAGGCCACUGGUUCAACUCCAGUAGGGAGCGCCA
This 77-nucleotide transfer RNA is filed under the name Photobacterium damselae subsp. piscicida. RNAcentral describes it as "tRNA-Arg". It matches the Rfam family "tRNA". From Rfam's summary of the family: Transfer RNA (tRNA) molecules are approximately 80 nucleotides in length. Their secondary structure includes four short double-helical elements and three loops (D, anti-codon, and T loops). The record is from RNAcentral. Lineage: Bacteria; Pseudomonadati; Pseudomonadota; Gammaproteobacteria; Vibrionales; Vibrionaceae.